This 212-nucleotide ribosomal RNA is filed under the name uncultured bacterium. RNAcentral's name for it is "partial 16S ribosomal RNA". It matches the Rfam family "Bacterial small subunit ribosomal RNA", at positions 28 to 256 of the family's 1533-position model. The record is from RNAcentral.
GAUAAACGCUGGCGGCGUGCCUAACACAUGCAAGUCGCACGCUCUCUCGGCAACGAGAGGGAGUGGCGGACGGGUGAGUAACACGUGGAUAACCUAACCUCGUGGUGAGGAAUACCGGCGAGAAAUCGCUGACAAUACCGCAUAAGUUUGGAAACAAACAAAGCCGCAAGGCGCCAUGAGAUGGGUCCGCGUCCGAUUAGCUGGUUGGUGGG